CCUACGGGUGGCAGCAGUGGGGAAUAUUGCACAAUGGGGGAAACCCUGAUGCAGCGACGCCGCGUGAGCGAUGAAGUAUUUCGGUAUGUAAAGCUCUAUCAGCAGGGAAGAAAAUGACGGUACCUGACUAAGAAGCCCCGGCUAACUACGUGCCAGCAGCCGCGGUAAUACGUAGGGGGCAAGCGUUUUCCGGUUUACCGGGGUGAAAGGGGAGCGUAGACGGCGGUGCAAGCCAGAUGUGAAAGCCCGGGGCCCAACCCCGGGACUGCUCUUGGACCUGCAUGGCUGGAGUACAGGAGGGGCAGGCGGAAUUCCUAGUGUAGCGGUGAAAUGCGUAGAUAUUAGGAGGAACACCGGUGGCGAAGGCGGCUUACUGGACUGUAACUGACGUUGAGGCUCGAAAGCGUGGGGAGCAAACAGGAUUAGAUACCCCGGUAGUC
RNAcentral lists this ribosomal RNA (440 nucleotides) under uncultured bacterium. Its description in RNAcentral is "partial 16S ribosomal RNA". It matches the Rfam family "Bacterial small subunit ribosomal RNA", at positions 338 to 795 of the family's 1533-position model. The record is from RNAcentral.